Molecule: ribosomal RNA, 400 nt
Filed under: uncultured marine bacterium
Lineage: Bacteria
Description: bacterial SSU rRNA
Rfam family: Bacterial small subunit ribosomal RNA
Source: RNAcentral
CGUCAGCUCGUGUCGUGAGAUGUUCGGUUAAGUCCGGCAACGAGCGCAACCCACAUCUUCAGUUGCCAUCAGGUUAUGCUGGGCACUCUGGAGAAACUGCCCGUGAUAAGCGGGAGGAAGGUGUGGAUGACGUCAAGUCCUCAUGGCCCUUACGGGUUGGGCUACACACGUGCUACAAUGGUAGUGACAAUGGGUUAAUCCCAAAAAGCUAUCUCAGUUCGGAUUGGGGUCUGCAACUCGACCCCAUGAAGUCGGAAUCGCUAGUAAUCGCGUAACAGCAUGACGCGGUGAAUACGUUCCCGGGCCUUGUACACACCGCCCGUCACACCAUGGAAGUUGGCCACGCCCGAAGCCGUUAUUCCAACCCUUGUGGAGGAGGAUGUCGAAGGUGGGGCUGAUG